UGGGAGGAAGGUCCAGGUAGUAGGGCUGC
Molecule: non-coding RNA, 29 nt
Filed under: Homo sapiens (human)
Lineage: Eukaryota; Metazoa; Chordata; Mammalia; Primates; Hominidae
Source: RNAcentral